GCUCAAUUAGUUUAAUUUUAUGGUAAAACUUUAUUUUUGUAAAAUAAUAAUGGACAUAGUCCUUUGAGUA
RNAcentral lists this transfer RNA (70 nucleotides) under Falcolipeurus quadripustulatus. RNAcentral describes it as "tRNA-Thr". The record is from RNAcentral. Lineage: Eukaryota; Metazoa; Arthropoda; Insecta; Psocodea; Philopteridae.